This 1325-nucleotide ribosomal RNA is filed under the name metagenome. RNAcentral describes it as "bacterial LSU rRNA". It matches the Rfam family "Bacterial large subunit ribosomal RNA", at positions 1561 to 2925 of the family's 2925-position model. The record is from RNAcentral.
AGUGGAUGGGGAGCAACCUAUGUUGUGCGUGUGUAAAGGUAGUGCCAAGAAAAGCGAUGAUCAUGUUGAAAAUCAAUUCCCGGUACCCGAAACCGACACAGGUGGGCAAGUAGAGAAUACUAAGGGGCGCGAGGUAACUCUCUCCAAGGAACUCGGCAAAAUGACCCCGUAACUUAGGGAGAAGGGGUGCCACCGAGAGGUGGUCGCAGUGAAGAGGCCCAGGCGACUGUUUAGCAAAAACAUAGGUCUCUGCAAACUCGAAAGAGGAGGUAUAGGGGCUGACGCCUGCCCAGUGCCGGAAGGUUAAAGAAGUUGGUCAGUUUUAGGAUGAAGCUAGCGACUGAAGCCCCGGUGAACGGCGGCCGUAACUAUAACGGUCCUAAGGUAGCGAAAUUCCUUGUCGGGUAAGUUCCGACCCGCACGAAAGGCGUAACGAUCUGGGCGCUGUCUCGGAGAGAGGCUCGGCGAAAUAGGAUUGUCUGUGAAGAUACGGACUACCUGCAUUUGGACAGAAAGACCCUAUGAAGCUUUACUAUAGCUUGGAAUUGUGUUCGGGCUUCCUGUGCGCAGGAUAGGUGGGAGGCGUAGAAGGUAUUCUUGUGGGGAUACUGGAGCCAACGGUGAGAUACCACUCUCAGGAGGCUAGAAUUCUAACUUAAUUAAGGACAGUUUCAGGUGGGUAGUUUGACUGGGGCGGUCGCCUCCAAAAAGGUAACGGAGGCGUACAAAGGUUCCCUCAGACUGGUUGGAAAUCAGUCGAAGAGUGCAAAGGCAGAAGGGAGCUUGACUGCGAGAAGUACAGUUCGAGCAGGGUGGAAACACGGUCUUAGUGAUCCGACGGUGCUGUGUGGAAGGGCCGUCGCUCAACGGAUAAAGGUUACUCUAGGAUAACAGGCUGAUCUCCCCCAAGAGUUCACAUCGACGGGGAGGUUUGGCACCUCGAUGUCGGCUCAUCGCAACCUGGGGCGGAAGUACGUCCCAAGGGUUGGGCUGUUCGCCCAUUAAAGCGGUACGUGAGCUGGGUUCAGAACGUCGUGAGACAGUUCGGUCCAUAUCCGAUGUAGGCGUGAGAAUAUUGAGAGGAGCCUUCCUUAGUACGAGAGGACCGGGAAGGACGCACCGCUGGUGUACCUGUUAUGAUGCCAAUUGUAAACGCAGGGUAGCCAAGUGCGGAGAGGAUAACCGCUGAAAGCAUCUAAGUGGGAAGCCCACCUCAAGAUGAGUAUUCUGGUGUAAGGUCACGGGAAGACGACCCGUAAAUAGGCACGAGGUGGAAGUGCAGAGAUGUAUGAAGCCGAAGUGUACUAAUAGACCGUCGGCUUGAC